GACGAACGCUGGCGGCGUGCUUAACACAUGCAAGUCGAACGCUGAAGACCUGGCUUUUGUUGGGUUGGAUGAGUGGCGAACGGGUGAGUAACACGUGAGUAACCUGCCCUCUUCUUUGGGAUAACGCCCGGAAACGGGUGCUAAUACUGGAUAUUCACUGAUCUUCGCAUGGGGGUUGGUGGAAAGGUUUGUUCUGGUGGGGGAUGGGCUCGCGGCCUAUCAGCUUGUUGGUAGGGUGAUGGCCUACCAAGGCUUUGACGGGUAGCCGGCCUGAGAGGGUGACCGGUCACAUUGGGACUGAGAUACGGCCCAGACUCCUACGGGAGGCAGCAGUGGGGAAUAUUGCACAAUGGGCGAAAGCCUGAUGCAGCGACGCCGCGUGAGGGAUGGAGGCCUUCGGGUUGUAAACCUCUUUCGCUCAUGGUCAAGCCGCAACUGUGGGUUGUGGUGAGGGUAGUGGGUAAAGAAGCGCCGGCUAACUACGUG
Molecule: ribosomal RNA, 486 nt
Filed under: uncultured bacterium
Lineage: Bacteria
Description: partial 16S ribosomal RNA
Rfam family: Bacterial small subunit ribosomal RNA
Source: RNAcentral